This 2001-nucleotide long non-coding RNA is filed under the name Homo sapiens (human). Its description in RNAcentral is "non-protein coding lnc-PFDN4-11:1". Lineage: Eukaryota; Metazoa; Chordata; Mammalia; Primates; Hominidae. The record is from RNAcentral.
AUUCUCUGUUAAGCCACUGAAUGAAGAAGGCUGCCACAUUUUCCUCUGGGUCAAUAUCAACAGCAAAACAAUAUCCCAGAACGGUCAUUUCUGGGACAAUAAAUAGUUUUCCAGAGCUGCUAUCUUAGGCCUCUCUGCCACUAAGGGAUUAAAGAGAAAUGCACACCCCUCCAGAAUUUCCUGUCCUGUCUUGCGGUUAACUUAAAACAUUUUCAACUCCCGCCUCCCCCUUUCUCACCAUCUCUCUUCAUGGUUAAAGAGGUUAUAAAUUUGCAAAGGAAAUGAUUAAGCAAAUCCAGAAAAUUUGGCCAUGGGACCUGAUUUUUCAAGGCCUUAGUUUUUGAAAGCUGAAGAAAUCUGUCCACUGAAGGAUUUGCACAUGAGUUUUUUAGUCUUAGGGCUGGGGCAUAAUUUCCUGUUUUUGUAUUCUCAAAACUGUUAAGCUACUUGUGAACAACUGGCCAGCAAAGAUAGGGAGGGGGCAGGGGAUGCGGAGAGAGGGUUGUGAGCCCAGAGGGGAGGAGAAAGGCUGUUUCUCCUCAGUUCUCACAGAACCUCUAUGAAAAUAGAAAGAUUUAUUUAUUUAUUUACUUUAAAGACUGUGAAGUAGAGACAAGGGGUAGAUUCUAGACAUUGAAGUUGGAGGUGUGAGUGGUAAAGAGGAGAAGAAACAUGUUUUAGCAGGAACUUGAAUAAGCUGAUUGAAACUCAAAGAACAGUCUGUUUCCAUAAGCAUGAACAUUUCUUAGACACUCAUUUUGUGCUUUGCAUGGAAUACAUCGUUAAAUCCCCACAGCAACUCAGUGAGGUGGAUUCUACUAGUGUCUCCACUUUAUGGAUGUGAAAGUGAAGCUGGAAGAAGUUAAGGAACCUGCUCAAAGCCACGUGGCUAGCAAGUAGCACCACUGGGAUUGCAACCAAGGCUGUUUGGACCCAGAGCCUGUGUUCAUAGCUACUGCUCUCUUCUGAAGAUAAAGGAGGAGACAAGGAUGUCAGCAUGACCAUAGCAUACAUGUUCAUUUAUUUAGAGCCAGGGAAGGGGGUGGGACACUAAUCAAGGUUGCCCCUUCCCUUCACUUCCCUUCCCUUCCCUUCCCUUCCCUUCCCUCCCCUCCCUUCUCCUCCCCUCCCCUCCCCUUCCCUUCCCUUUUUUCUCCUCUUAAAGCCACCAACUGUGCUAGGUAUUUGUAUGUUUACUCUCAGAUCAUUUUUCCAAGCUUCUCUUCAAACUGCAUUUCCCAGGUUCCAUUACCAACUGGCUUCUGGUUAAGUUCAGCCAGUGGGCGGCACUGACACGUAUUUUUCCUGCCUCCUCCCUCCAGUCAACAAAAAGGUACUGCUUGCAGAAGCCUCCAUUGGGUUCCAGCUACCCUCAAGCAGCCUCACCCCCAUCCACAUGGGGUUCUAUUUCCCACAGGGUGCCGGGUUCCCUAGCUCCAGAAGCAUCACCUCUUCCCUUUGGCUGUGUGUCUCUAGUGGUGGUUCUUUUUGUAGCCUAUUUCUAUUUCUUUCUUUCUUUUUUUUUUUAAAUUAUACUUUAAGUUUUAGGGUACAUGUGCACAAUGUGCAGGUUAGUUACAUAGGUAUACAUGUGCCAUGUUCUAUUUCUAAUCUCCGGGUGGGCCUCACGGCCCCAUGGUUGUCUUUUCAACUCUUCCAGUACCUUUAAAACUAGCACCCAUAUUAAUGUCCUUCUAUUCAGCUCCUUGUCAUGGGAUAGAGGUUCCCGAGAAAACCCUAAGACACAGAUCACAGAUUUUUCUUUUUUUUUUUUGGAACAAAGUCUCGCUCUUGUCCCCCAGGCUGGAGUGCGAUGGUGUGAUCUCGGUUCAUGGCAACCUCUGCCUCCCGGGUUCAAGGGAUUCUCCUGCCUCAGCCCCCCGAGUAGCUGGGAUUACAGGCGUCUGCCACCACACCCGGCUAAUUUUUGUAUUUUUAGUAGAGAUGGGAUUCUCCUUCCUCAGCCCCCCGAGUAGCUGGGAUUACAGGCGUCUGCCACCA